RNAcentral lists this transfer RNA (69 nucleotides) under Gonopsis affinis. RNAcentral's name for it is "tRNA-Met". Lineage: Eukaryota; Metazoa; Arthropoda; Insecta; Hemiptera; Pentatomidae. The record is from RNAcentral.
AAAUAGGUAAGCUAAACAAUUAAGCUACCAGGUUCAUACCCUGUUUAUAGAAAAAUUUUCUCCUAUUUA